Molecule: non-coding RNA, 72 nt
Organism: Oryza barthii
Lineage: Eukaryota; Viridiplantae; Streptophyta; Magnoliopsida; Poales; Poaceae
Source: Rfam
GGGGAUGUAGCUCAGAUGGUAGAGCGCUCGCUUAGCAUGCGGAGGCACGGGGAUCGAUACCCCGCAUCUCCA